RNAcentral lists this transfer RNA (77 nucleotides) under Natronospirillum sp. Its description in RNAcentral is "tRNA-Val". It matches the Rfam family "tRNA". Rfam says of the family: Transfer RNA (tRNA) molecules are approximately 80 nucleotides in length. Their secondary structure includes four short double-helical elements and three loops (D, anti-codon, and T loops). Further hydrogen bonds mediate the characteristic L-shaped molecular structure. tRNAs have two regions of fundamental functional importance: the anti-codon, which is responsible for specific mRNA codon recognition, and the 3' end, to which the tRNAs corresponding amino acid is attached (by aminoacyl-tRNA synthetases). tRNAs cope with the degeneracy of the genetic code in two manners: having more than one tRNA (with a specific anti-codon) for a particular amino acid; and 'wobble' base-pairing, i.e. permitting non-standard base-pairing at the 3rd anti-codon position. The record is from RNAcentral. Lineage: Bacteria; Pseudomonadati; Pseudomonadota; Gammaproteobacteria; Oceanospirillales; Natronospirillaceae.
AGGAACGUAGCUCAGUUGGUUAGAGCACCACCUUGACAUGGUGGGGGUCGUUGGUUCGAAUCCAAUCGUUCCUACCA